RNAcentral lists this ribosomal RNA (2934 nucleotides) under Priestia megaterium. RNAcentral's name for it is "bacterial LSU rRNA". It matches the Rfam family "Bacterial large subunit ribosomal RNA". RNAcentral also lists the same sequence under 1 other name. The record is from RNAcentral. Lineage: Bacteria; Bacillati; Bacillota; Bacilli; Caryophanales; Bacillaceae.
UUAAGUUAGAAAGGGCGCACGGUGAAUGCCUUGGCACUAGGAGCCGAUGAAGGACGGGACUAACACCGAUAUGCUUCGGGGAGCUGUAAGUGAGCUUUGAUCCGGAGAUUUCCGAAUGGGGAAACCCACUGUUCGUAAUGGAACAGUAUCUUUAUCUGAAUACAUAGGAUAUUGAAGGCAGACCCGGGGAACUGAAACAUCUAAGUACCCGGAGGAAGAGAAAGCAAAUGCGAUUUCCUGAGUAGCGGCGAGCGAAACGGAAUUAGCCCAAACCAAGAGGCUUGCCUCUUGGGGUUGUAGGACACUCUAUACGGAGUUACAAAGGAACGAAGUAAAUGAAGCGACCUGGAAAGGUCCGUCGAAGAAGGUAACAACCCUGUAGUUGAAACUUCGUUCCCUCUUGAGUGGAUCCUGAGUACGGCGGAACACGUGAAAUUCCGUCGGAAGCUGGGAGGACCAUCUCCCAAGGCUAAAUACUACCUAGUGACCGAUAGUGAACCAGUACCGUGAGGGAAAGGUGAAAAGCACCCCGGAAGGGGAGUGAAAGAGAUCCUGAAACCGUGUGCCUACAAGUAGUCAGAGCCCGUUAACGGGUGAUGGCGUGCCUUUUGUAGAAUGAACCGGCGAGUUACGAUCCCAUGCAAGGUUAAGCUGAUAAGGCGGAGCCGUAGCGAAAGCGAGUCUGAAUAGGGCGUUUAGUAUGUGGUUGUAGACCCGAAACCAGGUGAUCUACCCAUGUCCAGGGUGAAGUUCAGGUAACACUGAAUGGAGGCCCGAACCCACGCACGUUGAAAAGUGCGGGGAUGAGGUGUGGGUAGCGGAGAAAUUCCAAUCGAACCUGGAGAUAGCUGGUUCUCUCCGAAAUAGCUUUAGGGCUAGCCUCAUGUUGUGAGAGUCUUGGAGGUAGAGCACUGAUUGGACUAGGGGCCCCCAACGGGUUACCGAAUUCAGUCAAACUCCGAAUGCCAAAGACUUAUCCAUGGGAGUCAGACUGCGAGUGAUAAGAUCCGUAGUCAAAAGGGAAACAGCCCAGACCACCAGCUAAGGUCCCCAAGUAUACGUUAAGUGGAAAAGGAUGUGGAGUUGCUUAGACAACCAGGAUGUUGGCUUAGAAGCAGCCACCAUUUAAAGAGUGCGUAAUAGCUCACUGGUCGAGUGACUCUGCGCCGAAAAUGUACCGGGGCUAAACGUAUCACCGAAGCUGUGGAUUGACAUCUUUGAUGUCAGUGGUAGGAGAGCGUUCUAAGUGCAGCGAAGUCAGACCGUAAGGACUGGUGGAGCGCUUAGAAGUGAGAAUGCCGGUAUGAGUAGCGAAAGACAAGUGAGAAUCUUGUCCACCGAAUGCCUAAGGUUUCCUGAGGAAGGCUCGUCCGCUCAGGGUUAGUCGGGACCUAAGCCGAGGCUGAAAAGCGUAGGCGAUGGCCAACAGGUUGAUAUUCCUGUACCACCUCCCCGCCGUUUGAGUAAUGGGGGGACGCAGUAGGAUAGGGUAAGCGCGCUGCUGGAUAUGCGCGUUCAAGCAGUUAGGCUGAUGAGUAGGCAAAUCCGCUCAUCAUAAAGGCUGAGCUGUGAUGACGAGGGAAUUAUAGUACCGAAGUUCCUGAUUCCACACUGCCAAGAAAAGCCUCUAGCGAGGCGGGAGGUGCCCGUACCGCAAACCGACACAGGUAGGCGAGGAGAGAAUCCUAAGGUGAUCGAGAGAACUCUCGUUAAGGAACUCGGCAAAAUGACCCCGUAACUUCGGGAGAAGGGGUGCUCUGGUAGGGUGUAUAGCCCGAGAGAGCCGCAGUGAAUAGGCCCAGGCGACUGUUUAGCAAAAACACAGGUCUCUGCGAAGCCGCAAGGCGAAGUAUAGGGGCUGACGCCUGCCCGGUGCUGGAAGGUUAAGAGGAGGGGUUAUCCUUUGGGAGAAGCUCUGAAUCGAAGCCCCAGUAAACGGCGGCCGUAACUAUAACGGUCCUAAGGUAGCGAAAUUCCUUGUCGGGUAAGUUCCGACCCGCACGAAAGGCGUAACGAUCUGGGCACUGUCUCAACGAGAGACUCGGUGAAAUUAUAGUACCUGUGAAGAUGCAGGUUACCCGCGACAGGACGGAAAGACCCCGUGGAGCUUUACUGUAGCCUGAUAUUGAAUUUUGGUACAGCUUGUACAGGAUAGGUAGGAGCCUGAGAAGCCGGAGCGCUAGCUUCGGUGGAGGCGUCGGUGGGAUACUACCCUGGCUGUAUUGAAAUUCUAACCCGCGGCCCUGAUCGGGCCGGGAGACAGUGUCAGGUGGGCAGUUUGACUGGGGCGGUCGCCUCCUAAAAUGUAACGGAGGCGCCCAAAGGUUCCCUCAGAAUGGUUGGAAAUCAUUCGUAGAGUGUAAAGGCACAAGGGAGCUUGACUGCGAGACCUACAAGUCGAGCAGGGACGAAAGUCGGGCUUAGUGAUCCGGUGGUUCCGCAUGGAAGGGCCAUCGCUCAACGGAUAAAAGCUACCCCGGGGAUAACAGGCUUAUCUCCCCCAAGAGUCCACAUCGACGGGGAGGUUUGGCACCUCGAUGUCGGCUCAUCGCAUCCUGGGGCUGUAGUCGGUCCCAAGGGUUGGGCUGUUCGCCCAUUAAAGCGGUACGCGAGCUGGGUUCAGAACGUCGUGAGACAGUUCGGUCCCUAUCCGUCGUGGGCGUAGGAAAUUUGAGAGGAGCUGUCCUUAGUACGAGAGGACCGGGAUGGACACACCGCUGGUGUACCAGUUGUCUUGCCAAAGGCAUCGCUGGGUAGCUAUGUGUGGACGGGAUAAGUGCUGAAAGCAUCUAAGCAUGAAGCCCCCCUCAAGAUGAGAUUUCCCAUAGCGCAAGCUAGUAAGAUCCCUGAAAGAUGAUCAGGUUGAUAGGUCAGAGGUGGAAGCGUGGCGACAUGUGUAGCUGACUGAUACUAAUCGAUCGAGGACUUAACCAA